GACGAACGCUGGCGGCGCGCUUAACACAUGCAAGUCGAGCGAUGAAAUUUCGACAGAUCCCUUCGGGGUGAAGAUGAAAUGGAUUAGCGGCGGACGGGUGAGUAACACGUGAGUAACCUGCCUUUGACAUUGGGAUAGCCUCGGGAAACUGGGAUUAAUACCAAAUGACACUAACUGAUCACAUGAUCAAUUAGUCAAAGAAAUUCGGUCAAAGAUGGACUCGCGGCUGAUUAGCUAGUUGGUGAGGUAACGGCCCACCAAGGCGACGAUCAGUAGCCGGCCUGGGAGGGUGAUCGGCCACAUUUGAACUGCGGCACGGUCCACACUCCUACGGGAGGCAGCAGUGGGGAAUAUUGCACAAUGGGGCAAACCCUGAUGCAGCGACGCCGCGUGAGCGAAGAAGGCCUUCGGGUCGUAAAGCUCUUUUAUGAGGGAAGAUAAUGACGGUACCUCAAGAAAAAGCCCCGGCUAACUACGUG
This 479-nucleotide ribosomal RNA is filed under the name uncultured bacterium. RNAcentral describes it as "partial 16S ribosomal RNA". It matches the Rfam family "Bacterial small subunit ribosomal RNA", at positions 28 to 507 of the family's 1533-position model. The record is from RNAcentral.